This 1130-nucleotide ribosomal RNA is filed under the name uncultured Oligella sp. RNAcentral's name for it is "bacterial SSU rRNA". It matches the Rfam family "Bacterial small subunit ribosomal RNA", at positions 28 to 1143 of the family's 1533-position model. Lineage: Bacteria; Pseudomonadati; Pseudomonadota; Betaproteobacteria; Burkholderiales; Alcaligenaceae. The record is from RNAcentral.
AUUGAACGCUAGCGGGAUGCUUUACACAUGCAAGUCGAACGGCAGCACAGAGGAACUUGUUCCUUGGGUGGCGAGUGGCGGACGGGUGAGUAAUGUAUCGGAACGUGCCCAGUAGUGGGGGAUAACUACGCGAAAGCGUGGCUAAUACCGCAUAUUCUCUACGGAGGAAAGGGGGGGAUCAUUUGACCUCUCGCUAUUGGAGCGGCCGAUAUUAGAUUAGCUAGUUGGUGGGGUAACGGCCUACCAAGGCAGUGAUCUAUAGCUGGUUUGAGAGGACGACCAGCCACACUGGGACUGAGACACGGCCCGGGACCCUACCCUGGGAGAAUUCCCCAUAGACCGGGAUUUACAGAUACAGUAGGGGAACCCUGAUCGAGCCAUCCCGCGUGUGGGACGAAGGCCUUCGGGUUGUAAACCACUUUUCUCAACGAAGAAAAGUCUUAGGCUAAUACCUUAAGAUGCUGACGGUAGUUGAGGAAUAAGCACCGGCUAACUAUGUGCCAGCAGCCGCGGUAAUACAUAGGGUGCAAGCGUUAAUCGGAAUUACUGGGCGUAAAGGGUGCGCAGGCGGCUUGGAAAGAACGGUGUGAAAUCCCGGGGCUCAACCUCGGAACUGCACUAUUAACUAUCAAGCUAGAGUAUGUCAGAGGGGGGUGGAAUUCCGCGUGUAGCAGUGAAAUGCGUAGAUAUGCGGAGGAACACCAAUGGCGAAGGCAGCCCCCUGGGAUAAUACUGACGCUCAGGCACGAAAGCGUGGGUAGCAAACAGGAUUAGAUACCCUGGUAGUCCACGCCCUAAACGAUGUCAACUAGCUGUUGGGCCGGUUACGGCUUAGUAGCGCAGCUAACGCGUGAAGUUGACCGCCUGGGGACUACGGUCGCAAGACUAAAACUCAAAGGAAUUGACGGGGACCCGCACAAGCGGUGGAUGAUGUGGAUUAAUUCGAUGCAACGCGAAAAACCUUACCUACCCUUGACAUGCCUGGAAGCUUUAAGAGAUUAAAGUGUGCUCGCAAGAGAACCGGUGCACAGGUGCUGCAUGGCUGUCGUCAGCUCGUGUCGUGAGAUGUUGGGUUAAGUCCCGCAACGAGCGCAACCCUUGUCAUUAGUUGCUACGUAAGAGCACUCUAG